GGACGAAAGUCUGACGGAGCAACGCCGCGUGAGUGAAGAAGGUUUUCGGAUCGUAAAACUCUGUUUUCAGGGACGAAUGUGCAAUAUGUGAAUAAUGUGUUGUAAUGACGGUACCUGACAAGAAAGCCACGGCUAACUACGUGCCAGCAGCCGCGGUAAUACGUGGGUGGCAAGCGUUGUCCGGAAUUAUUGGGCGUAAAGCGCGCGCAGGUGGGAUAAUAAGUCUGAUGUUAAAGUUCGGGGCUCAACCCCGUGAAGCAUUGGAAACUAUUAUUCUUGAGUGCAGGAGAGGAAAGUGGAAUUCCUAGUGUAGCGGUGAAAUGCGUAGAUAUUAGGAGGAACACCAGUGGCGAAGGCGACUUUCUGGACUGUGUCUGACACUGAGGCGCGAAAGCCAGGGUAGUGAACGGGAUUAGAUACCCCGGUAAUCCUGGCCGUAAACGAUGGGUACUAGGUGUUGGGGGUAUCGACCCCUCCAGUGCCGGAGUUAACGCAAUAAGUACCCCGCCUGGGGAGUACGG
Molecule: ribosomal RNA, 521 nt
Filed under: uncultured bacterium
Lineage: Bacteria
Description: bacterial SSU rRNA
Rfam family: Bacterial small subunit ribosomal RNA
Source: RNAcentral